ACCCUCGUGGCCAAGAUCUUGGUAAGGGCGCCUAACUGUCAAUUAGGAGAUCGCGGGUUCGAGUCCCGCCGGGGGA
This 76-nucleotide transfer RNA is filed under the name Candidatus Jacksonbacteria bacterium. RNAcentral's name for it is "tRNA-Asp". It matches the Rfam family "tRNA". Rfam says of the family: Transfer RNA (tRNA) molecules are approximately 80 nucleotides in length. Their secondary structure includes four short double-helical elements and three loops (D, anti-codon, and T loops). Lineage: Bacteria; Candidatus Jacksoniibacteriota. The record is from RNAcentral.